GGGUGGGUCCAGCCUGGAGAAGAGAAGGCUCUGCAAAGGCCCAACAGCUUUCUGGCCCCAACAGGGGCUCCAGGAAAGCAGGGGCUCCUGGAACUGCGGGGACAGGACCAGGGGGGAUGGUUUUCGGGAGACUGAGAAACAUUCACUUGGCAAUGGAGAUCACGCUCCCAAAAACUGUUGAUCAACCGGAGCAGGAAAACGCCCCCGAGGGCCAGGAAGGGCCAGCCUGCAGCAUCGGGGACCAAGUGGCCCGUGCCCUCACCUCCCUCAUGAGCCGCCUGAGGAACAGCAUCUUUGCCGUGUACGUACGAUCCAUUCCCGCUGUGCGUGGGUGACAACAGGGAUGAUUGAGG
Long non-coding RNA from Cuculus canorus (common cuckoo), 353 nucleotides. RefSeq lists it as uncharacterized. The record is from RefSeq and is a predicted model, not a curated record. The transcript has 3 exons. NCBI's taxonomy places the organism in Eukaryota, Metazoa, Chordata, Aves, Cuculiformes, Cuculidae.